This 468-nucleotide ribosomal RNA is filed under the name uncultured bacterium. RNAcentral describes it as "partial 16S ribosomal RNA". It matches the Rfam family "Bacterial small subunit ribosomal RNA", at positions 28 to 507 of the family's 1533-position model. The record is from RNAcentral.
GACGAACGCUGGCGGCGUGCUUAACACAUGCCAGUCGAACGGAAAGGCCCUGCUUUUGUGGGGUGCUCGAGUGGCGAACGGGUGAGUAACACGUGAGUAACCUGCCCUUGACUUUGGGAUAACUUCAGGAAACUGGGGCUAAUACCGGAUAGGAGCUCCUGCUGCAUGUGGGGGGUUGGAAAGUUUCGGCGGUUCGGGAUGGACUCGCGGCUUAUCAGCUUGUUGGGGGGGUAGUGGCUUACCAAGGCUUUGACGGGUAGCCGGCCUGAGAGGGUGACCGGCCACAUUGGGACUGAGAGACGGCCCAGACGCCUACGGGAGGCAACAGUGGGGAAUAUUGCGCAAUGGGCGGAAGCCUGAUGCAGCAACGCCGCGUGCGGGAUGACGGCCUUCGGGUUGUAAACCGCUUUCGCCUGUGACGAAGCGUGAGUGACGGUAAUGGGUAAAGAAGCACCGGCUAACUACGUG